UCAGAAAUGUGAGAGAAGAGAGAGGUGGAACUGCAUAUAGCAUUAUGCUUGGGAGAUGCUAUAAAGAUGGGAUGAGUAGAAGAAAAAUAAAUGCUGACAUCUUUUUGAAAGCAAAACAACAACAACUCUGAAAUAUAUGAAUGAUUAACUCCAUAGCAUCUCAUUGACUUUCAUAACAUCUAAAAUUUGGAGCUGUUUUCAUAUACUUGCUACAGUUCUGCCUUAAAACAAAAUGUUUGUGUUGGCACCUAGGGAAGCAGAAAAGUAUCAAAUCUUAAGGCUGCAAGAGCUUAGCAGAUGUUUCAGUGAACGGAAUUUUCAAAUUCUUUAGCAUUAAAAAUAGCUAGAAAUCUGAGGUGCUUGGGUUACACUUUCUGUUUCGGUGCAGAGCCAACCAUUGUGCUUGAGUUUUAACAGAUGUGCUGUUCUUUUUUUUCAAGUGGAUGGGAAUAUAACACUACUACUGCUGUGUAGUUAUAAAUUAUAAUCAGAAAACAUUCUUAACCUUAGAUAGGUAUAGUGAAAUAAUUGUAUGCUCGAGCAAUAUGCCUGCAUGUAUAUGCCCCAGUGCCACUCAGAAGAUCCAUGGUGGUAAGAAGAUUAAAGCAUAUAUAUUUCUUGCUGGAUUGGUCAAGUGAGAUACACAUUUGGAUACACCUGAAUAUUUAUCUGACUGAUAAAGGUGAGAUAUACUGUCCUGAAUAGAUACUAAAUACUUUUUUUAAAUGAAAGCUCAGAUUCUGGGCGUACCUGCCCAGGGGAAUUCCUAGAAACCUUCAUGGGCACCUUGUUUAUAUCAUCCAUAAACAAAUCUCCUGAUUCAGUAGAAUUGCUCAGAUAUGUUAUGAUAGUUUAAAGGAGGAUUUAAAAAGCAAUACUUUUAAAAAAUCCUGCUUUAUUAUUUCCAGUCUUUUCAUUUUUAGCACACCUAUGACUUUACCUACCACCUACUAAAGCUGACAGUACUUAAGUAGUGAACACAUGGUGCAGUAGAUUCAUGAAUGGCACCCAAUAUGCUUACCUUUCCUUAGCUGAAUGCCAGCUUGUUCUCCACCUUCUUUUUUAAUUAAACUUUAAAAUGAACAAUGAAGAGCAAGAACAGAGAAACACUUGAGAUUAUUGGCUUGGAAGAAAAUGAUCUGCACCCUAGAGAAAGCCAAUUGCACAUAAGCAAUUCCCCAGUGGAUCAUAUUUAGCCUGGGUGUCAGCACAAAACUCUUGACAUUGAAUCCUCCCUCACAGACCAAGUCAUCAAACCAUCUUUGAUCAUGCUUUAUGCAACAGCAGUUUCAGUUAUUAAACCUCCUACAGGGUCUGCUGCUGGCAGGCUAAACCACUGUUAUUUCUUUUUUUAAAAAACCCCCAGCCAGGAUCAAUCCAAAUAGAGGCAGAAAUCUUGAAAUCCCUUGUUCACAGUGGGCACCACUGAAGUGGUUUUGAGGCUGUAUUCUGGCAGUUCAGGAUGCCAGUUCAUACUGAAGUAAUUAAAGUUAUGCGCUCUAAAUGGUAUAACUAUUUUGAUUCUAGUUAGCUUGUAGGCAGAUCUCAAGUACGGAAGAGCUUGCAUUAAACUUCAAAGUGUUAGUGAAGUAGUGGGGAACCUGCCCUCCUCAGUUCUUACCCUUUGUUUUUGGACUUCAACUCCUGUCAUCACCAGCCUGCAUGGCCAAUGGUCAGGGCUUAUGGAAGUUGCAACUACUGAAGGGCCACAGGUUCUCCCCCCCGGUUUAGUGUAUAAUAUUUUCACUAUUGGUAAUUUGGUAACUUAAAUAUAAUAUCUUACCAAAGUUGUUCAGUCCUCACAAAAGUAAGAUGUUUAGUCAAAUACUCAAGAAAUCAAAAGUCACAUGCAAGGAACCAGGAGAACCAGUCAAACAUACAAAAAGCUGAAGAGAAAAGUAAGUUUUUCCAGAGAGUAAAAAAGUUCAGGGACUUAGCUACAUCGGUCAAAUUAAAGGUAAAGGGACCCCUAACCAUUAGGUCCAGUCAUGACCAACUCUGGGGUUGCGGCGCUCAUCUCGCUUUAUUGGCCGAGGGAACCGGCGUACCGCUUCCGGGUCAUGUGGCCAGCAUGACUAAGCUGCUUCUGGUGAACCAGAGCAGUGCACGGAAAUGCCGUUUACCUUCCCACCUGAGUGGUACCUAUUUAUCUGCUUGCACUUUGACGUGCUUUCGAGCUGCUAGGUUGGCAGGAGCAGGGACCUAGCAACGGGUGCUCACCCCGUCGCAGGGAUUUGAACCGCCGACCUUCUGAUCGGCAAGUCCUGGGCUCUGUGGUUUAACCCACAGCACCAGCCGCGUCCCUAAUUGGUCAAAUUACAAUAUUAUAAAUGUGUUAUAACACUGUGACACCAGAUGGUGUUGUAGAGCUGAAAUCACAACUCAAUGAUAUUUUCCAUUGUGAGCUUUACGACUUUUUCAAAAAGAGCGUUUUCAGAGUGGUUUUUUUAUAGCUUGGUAGAUCUAGCCCCAGUCAUCACAGGCUGAAGGCAUAGCUGGCCUGGAGGGCAGGAUGACUUCUGCCUGUCAUGGCCAGCAGGAGGAACAACCCUAAUGAGAAAAGUCAUCCAUCCCUAUCACAACCUAAAAAUUCAUGGUCAGUAAGAAUUUCCAUUUUCCUACAUUUCCUAAGAGCUGGAGCUUGCAGAGGAGCAAUUCCAAAUAGGUUUCCCCCUUAGACAUGAUAUGGUUUCACACACUUGGGUGCAUAAACUUACAUCUGUCUGUAUAGCUGGAGGUCAACUGAACAAUAAUAUGUAGAAGGUUUCUUAAAGUGUGCUUUGUGUCAUGAUAUUGAUACUUCUUCCUGACCUUUAGGAAUGGCUGGCCUGCUUUACCUAACUCUGGUCUUUAUUUCUGUUCAUGCCAUCUUUGUAAAAGUGCCAUACCGCUUUAAACCUUUUCCCAAUCAGUUUCAUAUGAUGGGUUCUCUUUAAUCAUUUACAUUCUGGGGAAAGUCAAAUAUUCCAUAAGAAGCCAAAGUAAUCUAGCUGAAUAUAUAGUGUUUGUGCAGCUGGAUAUUUUAUUUAUUUGAAGUAUUGCGAGAACUCUCUUCUGACUUUACAGAAAAAAGGAUGACGAGUAAACAGUAAGAGGGUCCAAGUAAUCUGAACCUGAAAGUCCCUUCUUUUAGAGCAAAGUCAUAACAUUUUCCAUCUUCCAAAAAAGAAAAAGAAGUCUACAAAGCUAUAUAAUGCUCUUAUAGUACUGCUGUUUUUUUCUUACUUUGAUCAGUCUUUAAAAGUGUUGAUAUUACCAAAUAGAAAAAUAAUAAUUACUGUCUAUUCUAUGAUAUUUCAUUCAUCAUUACUUAUAUUUUUUGGCUAGGCACAAUACUCACAUAACAUUAACAUUUUAAAAUGAAUUUUCCUUGCCCUUUUCUGCUCUCUUUCUGUUCUGUUCUUUCACUAAAUGUCUUAAGAUGUUUAUAUAUCCCAUCUUCUUUCAGAGGUAUUAAAGCUGUUCAAUACUCUGAUUGAAAUACAAGAUAUUUUGAACUACUGUUCCAUAUUUUUAAAAAUAAAAGAUGCAGGGAAUGUGUGGUCAUAACUCUUAGUUUGUGCAUAGUGCAAUCCAAGCAUGGGUGCCAACUUGGAAAACAAAAUUGGGGGGCCCAGGUAAGCCCCAACCCACAUAAUUGAUCACAUGAUGCAAGGCACACACACCAUCUGAAUGGUAAUGCCCAUCAACUUUUGGGGGGAAGCUCCCUCUAAUAUUUUAGGGGGGGUGAAGGGACCUCAGCCCCUAGGAGUUGGUUUUUAAUUUUCAAGUUUCUUUUUUUAAAAUUUAUACCCUGAUUUUUGAUGAGCCUGCUCCACAAAGCAGAUUACAGUGUGAAAUAUACAAAUACAACACACACAAAUAAUAAGCCGAAUAAAUUGUUUAUUAUUAUUGUUUUGCUGUUCUUUGAACCUUGUUAGUGGAAAGGCAUAUAUAUCAUUGUAAUAGUAAUGAAUCAUUCCCAGCAAAGAUUCAGGUACAGCCACUCACAGCUAUGGCCCGGCACUAACUAAGACUCUCUUGCUGAUUGUUCAUAGCUGCAUUGACCCACCAACAUACAGCAGUCCUCCAUCUGGCCCCUGAGUUUAAAUAUCUAGAGACAAAGGAGUGCUUGCUAGCUGGGUUUUGUCUGCUGUUACUCUUGGCAUGUACAGUAAUACUCAGUAUCACAUUUCGGUGUCUCCUUACUGCUGACAUUCACUAAUCACCUUCAGUGAUUAGUGUUGUUGUGUUUGAACAACCUUCAGCUUAUUUGAACUAAGCCGAAAUAAGUAAAAGGUGGAUUCAGUUUAGUACAUUUGAACUUAAAACAGAAAAUGCAUACAACAAAAUAAAACAAAUAGAAGAAAAGAAAAAUAAUCUCACAAAUUUUGUUGAUGUGAAAAAAGUUCACUACCUUCCUCUAAAGACUGUUGUGUGAUCUUAUCUAAGAUGAUUUAUCAUGUAUGUUGAAAUGAUUGAUCCUGUUUGGCCUUUUCAUUCAAUUAUGAAAGAAAAGGGAAUAAAUAUUACUGAAUUGAUCACUCAGUGUUCAAUAUAUAAAUAUGGAUUUAUCCUGUCCAUUACUUAUUUCAAGUAUUGUGGAAAUAUUGAUUGCAAAACACACACAACCGUAAUGCACUUUAAAACUUUCCAGUUCAGGUAUGCAUAUUGCUUUGGAUUUUUUGGGAGGGGAGGGCUGUCAGAGUAAGAAGGAGACAUUUGUGUAUCAUUUUAUUUUUCUGCUUUCUAGAGUUUUUAGAUUAGUCAUAUCAAUCUCUUCUUGGCAGUUGGAUGACAAAUAUAAAGAUCAUAGUCAAAUUCCAUCCAUUAUUUUAGUGAAAACAUAUAUAUUUGCAGUUAAUACCAAUAUUGAUAUAGCAAACUCUUCUGUGCGUGCCAGAAAUCCAUAUACAGUACUUGAGGAAUUAUAUUAAUUGGAAAAACAUUCCAUAGAAAAGAGAUAAAUAUAACAGUCACAUUUAAAAUAAGUCAUUUUUUAUGUAUACAAAGAGCUGUUCCUGUAGAAAACUCUUGUAUAUUUAUCUUCAAUAUAUAUGGUCCGGCUAACAGCAUUGCAUGUUUCUGAAAUAGUAACGAAUUCCAGGCAUAAUCUUUAUUCCUCCUUAUUUUGGAUAGGCUAUAUACUAUUUCCUACCAUAUUUAUUUCUCCCUUUCUUGUUAGCAAAUUGGCAUCUCAAGGUGACUGAUAUAGAGUGGUUGGUUUACAGUAGGCCAUGGCUAGUGCCUGUAUUUCCAUACCAGCUGUAAAUACCGUCUAUCCAACACUUAUAUGGCCAAAUCACCUUUCAAUAAAGAUUUUUAACUUUUGAAACUUAUGAAACCAAGAAUAUAACAUGGUGCCAUAUGCAGUUGGAAGUAUUGGUUAUCCAUUGUGCAUCUUCUAUCACACAGGUGGAGGGGAUUCAGCACAUUAAGGCACCACUUCUCAGUACAAUGGUACCUUGGGUUGCGGACAGGAUCUCUUCUAGAGGUCCGGUUGGAUCCCAAGGUUUCUGCAACCUGAGGACCACUUCUGCGCAUGCGCAGACCGCUUCUGCACACGUGCGUGCAGCGAAACCUGGUAAAAUACUUCUGGGUUUGUCGCGCGUGCAUCCCAAAGUUUACAUAACCAGAGGUUUACGUAAACGGAGGUUUGACUGUAGUUGGGUAGCACAACACUUGAGAGUUUGUCAAGAACUGAGGUAGAAGAUGGCAAGGGUGGAAAUGAGGGGUUGGUGGUUGAGUAAAUCUAGGUUCUGUUAUAAACUCACAGUGCUGGUAAUGUACAACUGAGUAACAGAACACAUGGUUAGGGAAUCAGUUUGUGUGCCCCUCUCUCCACCUUACCUCACAAACUUGCUGUAAUAUUUAAACACAUUGCAUGCAUGCCCAUUCCAUUGAUCCUAGGUGCAAUAUGUGUGAUAUUUAGCUCUGUAUUUUAGGAAUUAAAAUAUCAUACCUACUCACAUUAGAUUAGAUUAUUUAAUUUCUAUACCUCUUAAUAUAUUAAAAAUAUCUCUAAACAGUAUUCAGAAAACUGAAGCAAAAACAGACAACUUAAUCAAAAUAUUUCAAAAAUACAGUUCCAUAUUAAAAUGUUACAUUAAUGCAGAGUUACUAAUAUAUUAAUCAAUAUAAAUUCAUUUUCCUUCUGACACACCCUCCCUCUCACCCUCCGGGUUCUAACCUAGGGUUCAGCAAAUUCUCAGCUCACCUGUCAGGAUGUCACCAGAAGGUGUGCUGUCUUCCAGGUGUGAAUUACAAUGAACAUAAUUAAUGUUGCAUAGCACCAGGGCAUUUUUUCAGGUGGAGCUCACUGGAACUCAGGUGGAGCUCUCAGGUGGGCACUAUUGCCAUUAUAAGAGUUCAUGGUGAGUUCUGGCAUAUCUUUUUCUAGAAAAAUAGCACUGUCACCUCCAUUGGACUUCAUGCUGAAAUAAGAAAUGGGUCUCUAUCACUGAAAGCUGGAUAUAAAGAGUCAGCAAGGAUACAGAAUAGAAGAGAUAAUUGCUACAAGGUUAUGGACAAGUUUCCAUUACACCCUUUUCAUGGUAGGCACUACAUGACCUGAGUUCCAGUUGUCAGCACUCUACAGAGAAAUUGAUCCUAUGGAGGCCGAGAGAUUUGUAUGCAUUAAUACUAAAUAUGCCACUGGAAUUUUGUGAAAAGCCGCUCCAAGAGUCUGCCAGUAUGUGCAGAAUUGUGGGUGUGAUACUAGAUAUAUACAACUGGCUAGAGAUGAGUGUGUGUAUCACCUUCCACACUGGAACACAUUGGUAGUAUGAAUAAUAUUCUCAAGGCUGCAAAGUUUAUUGCUUCUGACUUUCUCACUUUCCCCAUCAAUUCUACUCUGACUUAAAACAAUUUUAAUUGCAUGCUGUUCAGAUACAAAAGUGGGCAUUAUUGUGUGUCUGCCAAGUUGAUCCCAAAAUUUAUAACCCCAAUGAAACUUCCCUUAUUGAUGGGUACACAAACAGUCCCAACAAAUAUUUCAUGGUUGAGCUGAAGGUUAAUGGAGUCAUCAACAGAGCCUUUGAUAUCUUCUUGUGAUUUUGAAGACCUGGAAAAUAUGCAGUAGGUGUAGAUUUUGUAUCUUUCCCCUUGUCAGUGGGUAAAAAUCACCAGAGGAAAAUGGCCAGAGGAAAAAGGAUGAAGCAGUCCUUUUCUCAACAUUCUUCCACUCAUGAACAUAGCCUCUAAGUCUGCUCAUCAUUAAUAUCAUCAGUAAUAAUGAUGAUGUCUGGAGAGAAUUAUUACUAUCUGGAGAGAGUAGCACAUGGCAGCUCACAAGUAGUUUGUCCAGGUCUGGGUUUCAAUAUACAUGUGUCCUACAGAUACAGUUGUUCAAAAGAGAGGAUUGGGUGCUCCGCAGCUAGCCAUAGUUCGGUACUGUGUGAUGUGUGUGACAAAGUCCUUAGAUUAUAUAAUAUGAAUUUUUUUAUCUCAACUAUUAUUCAUGAUUAACUAAAGGAAGUUUUUGUGCUAAGAAUUACAAAUGUGUGUUUUCAUGACAAGGAGAAAGGUAGACUUAUAAAUCAUAAUAUAAAUCUGAUAGAUUUAUGAAUGAAUGUUCUUGGUUUUUAGUAGUUCGGAUACUUAAAUUUUGGGGUGGGGGAAAUGCCUCUUAGAUUCUUUCAAAAAUAAAAGGAAGAAGAUUUUCUCUCUCUACUUCAGAGACACAUAUUACUCUGCCAGCUUGAAUAACCGGCCAUGUUUCAGCCCCAAAUGUCAAAAAUAAACAGAUGAAAGUGUGUGUUAUAUUUUUACACUGUUGUCAGAUGCUAUUGGUUUGUCUUUUUCAGAGUCCUAUUUAUUUCAGUAAAUGCUGUUACCUCCGCAGCUCUACUUUCUUAGACUUCCAUCAGAACCGUUCUCUUGAGGUCAAAUAAAUGAAUUAUCAACUUUUUUUAAUCCCUGUUAUCCAUUUUGCUGCUGACACUUAGAAGUUCCCUGGUUAUUUAUUUAUUUUGUUUGUUUUCUGUAGUAGAGCAAAGCCACCAGAUCAUAAUGUUAACUGUCACUUUUUGGAAAACAGAGGCUGAUGCAUCUUCAGCCUGAAAGUGAGGCUAGGAACAAUAUACCCCUUUUGCUUGUGAUACAACAUGCAUUUUAUUAAAUUAUGAACUAGCCAAGGCAGAGUGAAUUGAAUGCUGAAUUUUUAAAAUGAGAUCACUUCCAGCUAGCCAAGCCACACUCUGCUCUUUGCCAAUAGAUUUAGUCCUCAUAUACACGUUCAGUACAAGUAGAAUUACCACUUUCCAGUUCUCAAAGCCAAAUGGCCUAAUUAGCAUUUUUUGCUAAUUGUUGCUGAUUAAAAAAAUUAAGUAAUGGUUUAGGAAAGGGCUAAGCAACCCCCCCCCCCCGAUUUUCCACCCCAAAUUAUCUCCAUCAAAUGGGGCAACAGUUUCUUCAAAGGCCUUUAGAUCAGUUUAGUUUGGGUCCAUCGUGCCAAAAAUUGGGUGAAGUCAUGCC
Non-coding RNA from Podarcis lilfordi (Lilford's wall lizard), 8454 nucleotides. The record is from the annotation of a GenBank genome assembly. Lineage: Eukaryota; Metazoa; Chordata; Lepidosauria; Squamata; Lacertidae.